UAGGAGGAAAUAGCAUAAGGUCAUGGAAGAGAGAGGGGUGUAGAUUACCUGAUGUCCAAAUAGGAGGUAAUAGCGUAAGGUCCUGGGAGACAAAGGUGUUGUAGAUUACCUGAUGUCCAAAUAGGAGGAAAUAGCAUAAGGUGCUGGAAGAGAGAGGGCUUUAGAUUACCCGAUGUCCAGAUAGGAGGUAGUAGCAUAAGGUCCUGGAAGAGAGAGGGUUGUAGAUUACAUGAUGUCCAAAUAGGAGGUAAGAGCAUAAGGUCCGGGAAGAGAGAGGGC
This 279-nucleotide long non-coding RNA is filed under the name Homo sapiens (human). RNAcentral describes it as "HSALNT0324510". Lineage: Eukaryota; Metazoa; Chordata; Mammalia; Primates; Hominidae. The record is from RNAcentral.